Parus major (Great Tit) is the source of this 931-nucleotide long non-coding RNA. RefSeq lists it as uncharacterized. The record is from RefSeq and is a predicted model, not a curated record. NCBI's taxonomy places the organism in Eukaryota, Metazoa, Chordata, Aves, Passeriformes, Paridae. The transcript is spliced from 3 exons.
CUCUCCACCUUUUCUGUAGGUUCCCUUCUGGUUCUGGAAGUAUGGAAUUAGGUCACACUGAAGAUUCUCUUCUCCGGGGUGAACAUUCCCAAUACUCUCAUCAUUUCCUCAUAGAGGUUCUCCAUCCCUCUAACCUGAACCUCCUCUAGGCUCACUCCAACAGCCCCGUGUCCUUCCUGUGCUGAGGACACCAGAGAUGAAGGCAGCACUGCCUGGACUCACCAGGAUGGAGCAGAGGGGCAGGAUGACCUCCCUUACUGUUUGCAGCACAAUCUACAGGAGUUGUUUAGAGUGAACCCUUUCAAAUAUGAACACCAUUGUUUCACUGAGACCCUCCUCCUGGACCUGCCCUAAAUCUCCUCUGUGUGCAGAGGGUGAAGGUGCUGGAGAAGAAAUGUGGAUGUGCUGCAGAAACCAUUGCAGUUGAAAGAAGAAGAAGCAGGUGAAAAGGUGGAUGGUGUCUUCAUCAAUAGGAAGCAAAACAUAACUUGAAUUAAGUGCACAUCAGCCAAUGAUGGUUGAGGUUAUGUAAAAUUAUAAAUAUUGACAAGAGAGACCAUGUCCUGCCUUGGCUGGCAGGUGAAGUCACAGAGAUAAGAGUUGUAUCAUCAGCUUUGGUUAUUUCAGUGAACCUGGUCAAAAGGAAGAGGUGAAAUUUGCUUCAUUGCUGAAGAAAAAUAAUCUUUCUUACCAUCUCUGGUUGCUGGUAGGUUGGGAAGGAAAUUUCUUUUUAGGUAACUUCAUCUGAGGUGUGAUGUCAUCUGUUAUACAUUUUUAAAUUUCCUUUGUAGUUAUAAUAAUGUAAUACAUUGUAAGCACGAUGCAUGUUAGAUCUGCACUUCAUUCUCUGUUGAUUUAUUUUAAAAUACUGAGCUAAGCUGAAGAGAUCUGUGCUUUUAUUCUAAGCCUCCAACCAAGAUUUUAAACUAAA